This 188-nucleotide ribosomal RNA is filed under the name uncultured bacterium. Its description in RNAcentral is "partial 16S ribosomal RNA". It matches the Rfam family "Bacterial small subunit ribosomal RNA", at positions 1315 to 1500 of the family's 1533-position model. The record is from RNAcentral.
CCUACAUGAAGCUGGAAUCGCUAGUAAUCGCGAAUCAGAAUGUCGCGGUGAAUACGUUCCCGGGUCUUGUACACACCGCCCGUCACACCAUGGGAGUCAGUAACGCCCGAAGUCAGUGACCCAACCGGAACCGGAGGGAGCUGCCGAAGGUGGGACCGAUAACUGGGGUNAAGUCGUAACAAGGUAUC